Long non-coding RNA from Dermochelys coriacea (leatherback sea turtle), 469 nucleotides. RefSeq lists it as uncharacterized. NCBI's taxonomy places the organism in Eukaryota, Metazoa, Chordata, Testudines, Dermochelyidae. The record is from RefSeq and is a predicted model, not a curated record. The transcript has 2 exons.
GAUAAUGUAUAUAGGUGUAUAUAGGGUCUAUAUGGGGAUAGAUGGACAGACAGACAGACGUUCUGGUCCUGAAGUUGUCGACAACCUGGAUUCACAAGAAAAGAGCGCGACAGCACGUCUGGUCACCAGCUGCCUGUCCCACACUCACUGCAGGAGUUCCUAAAGGACCUGACACAAGGGUCACAUCUGUUCUGGAUCGGACUGUCCCUCUCCUCCCCGGAGAAGGGCUGGACCUGGCUGGACGGCUCCCGGCUGAAUCAGACCCUGUUCCUGGUGUCAGGCCCGGCUGAGGGGAAUAGCUGUGGGGUGUUGAACAGGAAUCGGAUUCGUUCUGACACCUGCAGCUCUGUACUUCGGUGGAUCUGCCAGAGAGACGCCGUCCCGCUCUGAGCAGGGCGUCCAUGGCCUUUUAAUAAUGGAAAGGAGCCUUUCAUCAAUAAAAGCAUCAGGAGUGAUCUUUGACACUUUA